This 663-nucleotide ribosomal RNA is filed under the name uncultured fungus. Its description in RNAcentral is "eukaryotic LSU rRNA". It matches the Rfam family "Eukaryotic large subunit ribosomal RNA", at positions 24 to 664 of the family's 3401-position model. Lineage: Eukaryota; Fungi. The record is from RNAcentral.
CCCGCUGAACUUAAGCAUAUCAAUAAGCGGAGGAAAAGAAACUAACAAGGAUUCCCCUAGUAACUGCGAGUGAAGCGGGAAAAGCUCAAAUUUAAAAUCUGGCGGUCUCGCGGCCGUCCGAGUUGUAAUCUGGAGAAGCGUUUAUCCGCGUCGGACCGUGUACAAGUCUUCUGGAAGGGAGCGUCAUAGAGGGUGAGAAUCCCGUCUUUGGCACAGAUCCCAGGGCUUUGUGAUGCGCUCUCGACGAGUCGAGUUGUUUGGGGAUGCAGCUCUAAAUGGGUGGUAAAUUCCAUCUAAAGCUAAAUAUUGGCGAGAGACCGAUAGCGAACAAGUACCGUGAGGGAAAAAUGAAAAGAACUUUGAAAAGAGAGUUAAACAGUACGUGAAAUUGUUGAAAGGGAAACGCUUGAAGUCAGUCGCGUCCUCUAGGGAUCAAGUCGACUCUGGUCGACCGUACUUUCUAGUUGGAUGGGUCAGCAUCAAUUUUGAUCGCUGGACAAAGGCCUUGGGAAUGUGGCAUCCUCGGAUGUGUUAUAGACCAUGGUUCUUAUACAGUGGUUGGGAUUGAGGAACUCAGUGUGCCUUUGUGGUUGGGGCUUCGGCUCACAUCGCACGCUUAGGAUGCUGGCAUAAUGGCUUUAAUCGACCCGUCUUGAAACACGG